RNAcentral lists this ribosomal RNA (468 nucleotides) under uncultured bacterium. RNAcentral describes it as "partial 16S ribosomal RNA". It matches the Rfam family "Bacterial small subunit ribosomal RNA", at positions 28 to 507 of the family's 1533-position model. The record is from RNAcentral.
GACGAACGCUGGCGGCGUGCUUAACACAUGCAAGUCGAACGGAAAGGCCCUGCUUUUGUGGGGUGCUCGAGUGGCGAACGGGUGAGUAACACGUGAGUAACCUGCCCUUGACUUUGGGAUAACUUCAGGAAACUGGGGCUAAUACCGGAUCGGAGCUCCUGCUGCAUGGUGGGGGUUGGAAAGUGUCGGCGGUUGGGGAUGGACUCGCGGCUUAUCAGCUUGUUGGUGGGGUAGUGGCUUACCAAGGCUUUGACGGGUAGCCGGCCUGAGAGGGUGACCGGCGACAUGGGGACUGAGGGACGGACCAGAGUGCUACGGGAGGCAGCAGGGGGGAGUAUUGCACAGUGGGGGGAAGCGUGAGGCAGCAACGCCGCGUGCGGGGUGACGGCCUUCGGGUGGUAAACCGCGUUCGCCUGUGACGAAGCGUGAGUGACGGUAAUGGGUAAAGAAGCACCGGCUAACUACGUG